This 906-nucleotide ribosomal RNA is filed under the name uncultured archaeon. RNAcentral's name for it is "bacterial SSU rRNA". It matches the Rfam family "Archaeal small subunit ribosomal RNA", at positions 21 to 903 of the family's 1478-position model. The record is from RNAcentral.
CCCCACUGCUAUCGGGGUGGGACUAAAACAUGCAAGUCGAGCGCCUCCAAGCUAUGGUGAAGGCGCGGCAAACGGCUCAGCAACACGUGGCCAACCUACCCUUGGGACGGAGACAACCCCGGGAAACUGGGGCUAAUCCCCGAUAAGUAAGGAAUCCUGGAAUGGAUCUUUGCUGAAAGGGCGUCUGGACCAUGCUUCUUGACGUCGCCCAAGGAUGGAGCCGCGACCGAUCAGGUAGUUGGCGAGGCAACGGCUCACCAAGCCUAUAACCGGUACGGGCCGUGAGAGCGGGAGCCCGGAGAUGGGCACUGAGACAAGGGCCCAGGCCCUACGGGGCGCAGCAGUUGCGAAAACUCCGCAAUGCGCGAAAGCGUGACGGGGCUACCCCGAGUGCCGCCCGUUGAGGGCGGCUUUUCCACGGUGUAAGGAGCCGUGGGAAUAAGGAGAGGGCAAGACUGGUGUCAGCCGCCGCGGUAAUACCAGCUCUCCGAGUGGUGGGGACGAUUAUUGGGCUUAAAGCGUUCGUAGCCGGCUUAACAAGUCUUCCGUUAAAUCCAACGAUCUAAUCGUUGGGCUGCGGGAGAUACUGUUGGGCUAGGAGGCGGGAGAAGCCGACGGUAUUCUCGGGGUAGGGGUGAAAUCCUGUAAUCCCGGGAGGACCACCAGUGGCGAAGGCGGUCGGCUAGAACGCGCUCGACGGUGAGGGACGAAAGCUGGGGGAGCGAACCGGAUUAGAAACCCGGGUAGUCCCAGCUGUAAACGAUGCGGGCUAGGUGUUGGGGUGGCCACGAGCCACUUCAGUGCCGCAUGGAAGCAAUUAAGCCCGCCGCCUGGGGAGUACGGCCGCAAGGCUGAAACUUAAAGGAAUUGGCGGGGGAGCACCACAAGGCGUGAAGCUUGCGGUUU